This 519-nucleotide ribosomal RNA is filed under the name uncultured eukaryote. RNAcentral describes it as "partial 18S ribosomal RNA". It matches the Rfam family "Eukaryotic small subunit ribosomal RNA", at positions 1163 to 1383 of the family's 1831-position model. The record is from RNAcentral.
CAGGCACCACCCCGAGUGUCGCCGGUGUUUAAAUUUUACUCAACGACCCUAAACUCAUGCGGAGCUCACACCGUAAGGAUUGACAGAUUGAGAGCUCUUUCUUAAUUCGACGGGUGGUGGUGCAUCAUCGUUCUUUGUUGGGGGACAGAUUUGUCUGGAACAUUCAGAUAACGAACACGACUCUGACCUAUUAAAUACGCGUGGUGGAUGCAAAACUGCUCGACUGGAUCGAAGCCAACGUCGACUUUGCCACCUCGAUGAAUGAUCGGAUCACCCCUGUGACCACCCACGAGGAGCGAGGAAUCGCCCAAGAUCACCACGGCUACGUCGACGCCUCUCCGGAGCCCACGGAGCCUUUCAUGGAUUGGGUGGUGUCGGUCUGUUUUGCCGGCGGCCGGGCACGCUGAUUAGAUGCCGGCGCUCUGCUCGUAGAUGAUGAUGCGCCUUUCAAGCUCGCAAGUUGUGGCUGCUGAACGGCUCCCACUCGAUGCUGGCCUACUACGGAAGCGUCCGUGGACA